RNAcentral lists this ribosomal RNA (253 nucleotides) under uncultured bacterium. RNAcentral describes it as "partial 16S ribosomal RNA". It matches the Rfam family "Bacterial small subunit ribosomal RNA", at positions 524 to 776 of the family's 1533-position model. The record is from RNAcentral.
UACGAAGGGGGCUAGCGUUGUUCGGAAUUACUGGGCGUAAAGCGUAUGCAGGCGGAUCGAUAAGUCGGGGGUGAAAUCCUGAGGCUCAACCUCAGAACUGCCUUCGAUACUGCCGAUCUUGAGUCCGGGAGAGGUUAGUGGAACUGCGAGUGUAGAGGUGAAAUUCGUAGAUAUUCGCAAGAACACCAGUGGCGAAGGCGGCUAACUGGCCCGGUACUGACGCUGAGAUACGAAAGCGUGGGGAGCAAACAGG